Molecule: ribosomal RNA, 287 nt
Filed under: uncultured bacterium
Lineage: Bacteria
Description: partial 16S ribosomal RNA
Rfam family: Bacterial small subunit ribosomal RNA
Source: RNAcentral
UUCGCCUACGGGGCGCAGCAGUAGGGAAUUUUCGUCAAUGGGCGCAAGCCUGAACGAGCGAUGCCGCGUGAGUGAAGAAGGCCUUCGGGUCGUAAAGCUCUGUUGCGGGGGAAAAAAGGCAGCAUCAGGAAAUGGGCGCUGACUGAUGGUGCCCCGCCAGAAAGUCACGGCUAACUACGUGCGAGCAGCCGCGGUAAUACGUAGGUGGCGAGCGUUAUCCGGAAUGAUUGGGCGUAAAGGGGGCGCAGGCGGUCUUGCAAUUCUGGAGUGAAACGCAUGGGCUCAAC